UCCAUGGUGCAUGGUGAACCUUAUCCUGGCUGCUGGGUACCCUUGGCGUUCCUGUGCUCACUGCUUUAUCUGUUGUGUACAUUGCAGAGCCUUUCUGUACCUUGGCCAGAAUAACUUUGCAGAAGCUCACAAGUUCUUCACAGAGAUUUUGAGGAUGGACCCGACAAAUGCAGUGGUAAGACAUGCAGACUGGGUACCCACAGGCCCCUCUACCUUUUGCAGACCAGUAAACCCAGAUUCCUGCUCUGGCCUGGCCUGGCCUGGUCUGCAGCAGCUAAAGAGGUCUGCAAAGGGUCUGGUGAAACAUGGGGACCAGGGACAGAGAGCAGGCAGGCUUGUGUCUGUGGCACCCUGAGCCCAUGUCCUUUGCUCCAGGCCAACAACAAUGCUGCUGUGUGUCUGCUUUACCUGGGGAAGCUCAAGGACUCCCUGCGGCAGCUGGAGGCCAUGGUGCAGCAGGACCCCAGGCACUACCUGCACGAGAGCGUGCUCUUCAACCUGACCACCAUGUAUGAGCUGGAGUCCUCAAGGAGCAUGCAGAAGAAGCAGAGCCUACUUGAGGCCGUUGCCAGCAAAGAAGGGGACAGCUUCAACACGCAGUGCCUGAAGCUGGCCUAGUUCCCUCCAGGUCU
RNAcentral lists this long non-coding RNA (632 nucleotides) under Rattus norvegicus (Norway rat). RNAcentral describes it as "long non-coding RNA NONRATT024947". Lineage: Eukaryota; Metazoa; Chordata; Mammalia; Rodentia; Muridae. The record is from RNAcentral.